CCUGGGUGCUGGACCCCACCUGACAAAAGGCCUACUGCCUCCUGUCAUUGAGGAGCAAUGACUUCAAGGUCACAGCUGUCUCUCCAGGGCCCCUGAGGUGGGGGAAGGGAAUGAGAGUGCCUAAACUUCAUAAUUGAGAACAGGAGACCUGGCCCUUGCCCAUCUUUGCUGGGAUACUGGACUUCGUAACCUUGCUUGCAUCCACUGUUCAUGGGACCAUGUAGCAUGCUCUCCUUUGGAAAAUUACUAAACAUAGGAUUAGCAGCACCUGGAAAUGUCAGGAAGGCCCGACAAAGUCUGAAGCAAGUAAAAAAUAUUUUUAUUUGCAGGUUCUCGGGUAAGGUGACAAGCCUAGGAAAAUAGGUACUUUUAAUUCCCCAAGUGGGGAAAACAGAGCCAGUUUUCUUGACAUAAUUAUCGUUUCAUCUGUUCAAGGUAUGGAGAAUGCCAACUACUGUCCCAGAAUGGACCCGAGUAAUUGAAACCAGUUGUGAGUGGAAAUUCUAGAAGGGUAAUACUAGAACUUACACGGCUUACCAUUAUUUAGGUGGUUGUCUGAAGAGUUCAUGCAAAAUAAUUUGGAGUGCUGGAGGUAAUUGGAGAGACCCCUAAUAUCAUUAAAGGUCUGAAAGAUGCCAGGGGUGCUGGAGUGGGAUCAAGAAAGAGGUGUCAGUUCCCGAGCUCCCAGCAGUGACUGUCAGCAAGGGACAGAAGGUGAAUGCAGCUUGUUAGGCGUAUGGCAACAGCAAAGAAGCAGGCUUCUAUGUAACCUGUUAGGGAUGGCUCUUGAAGAGAGACAACACUUGAAAACAUAAUGGCCAGAUGAUCUCAGGAUGCAAGAAUCCUUCAGAUGUUUGCUGAGAACUAUUGAAAGAUGCUUCAGUCUGACAAAAGCAGGAAAUGUUAAUUUUCAGUUCUUUUAUAAAUAGAGGGAUGAUCUGUAAAGGGAAACUGUUGUCACAGCAAAUAUACACUUGAGUGAUUCAAACCUAAUUAGUGGUUUUAUGAUUCACUUUGAAUAUAUUUACUGUAAUAACUGAUAAACUGCUUUUCAAAUUCAGCUGUUGAAUAGAUUCUAUUUUUUAAAAAAAUAAAACAGCUCUGAAAAUUCA
Molecule: long non-coding RNA, 1112 nt
Filed under: Bos indicus x Bos taurus (hybrid cattle)
Lineage: Eukaryota; Metazoa; Chordata; Mammalia; Artiodactyla; Bovidae
Description: lncRNA (ENSBIXG00000004783.1)
Source: RNAcentral